Molecule: ribosomal RNA, 392 nt
Filed under: Robbsia sp.
Lineage: Bacteria; Pseudomonadati; Pseudomonadota; Betaproteobacteria; Burkholderiales; Burkholderiaceae
Description: bacterial SSU rRNA
Rfam family: Bacterial small subunit ribosomal RNA
Source: RNAcentral
GCCGCGGUAAUACGUAGGGUGCAAGCGUUAAUCGGAAUUACUGGGCGUAAAGCGUGCGCAGGCGGUUUGUUAAGACAGAUGUGAAAUCCCCGGGCUCAACCUGGGAACUGCAUUUGUGACUGGCAAGCUAGAGUAUGGCAGAGGGGGGUGGAAUUCCGCGUGUAGCAGUGAAAUGCGUAGAUAUGCGGAGGAACACCGAUGGCGAAGGCAGCCCCCUGGGCCAAUACUGACGCUCAUGCACGAAAGCGUGGGGAGCAAACAGGAUUAGAUACCCUGGUAGUCCACGCCCUAAACGAUGUCAACUAGUUGUUGGGGAUUCAUUUCCUUAGUAACGUAGCUAACGCGUGAAGUUGACCGCCUGGGGAGUACGGUCGCAAGAUUAAAACUCAAAG